This is a long non-coding RNA of Bactrocera dorsalis (oriental fruit fly), 881 nucleotides long. RefSeq lists it as uncharacterized. NCBI's taxonomy places the organism in Eukaryota, Metazoa, Arthropoda, Insecta, Diptera, Tephritidae. The transcript is spliced from 2 exons. The record is from RefSeq and is a predicted model, not a curated record.
CUCUUUAAUGUUGAUAUUAAAAAUUAUAUCGAAUUUCAUUUGUUUAUAAAAUAGUUGAAAUUGCAUUGACAAUAUUUGUAACCAAAAUUCUAAAGAAUUUUAAGUGCAUUUCCGUUUUGCUUCAAGUAUGUUUUUACGAUCGAAAUUCUUAAGAGGCGUUGCACUUAUUAAUUUUGCUGAUAAGAAUUCUUUAGAAUUUUAAUUGUAUUUUGCUUUCUGUUUUUACUAUUGAUUUCGUAUUUAAGAUUAAGAACUUUUGUAAACUAAGUUAGUCAGUUAGUCAGUUAGUUUGAUUCAAUAAAGCAAGAGCUACAUACUCUUGGAAGAAAUAUUUUAAUUAAUGUUUUAAUUGUUAACAGUAGAAAUAGGUGACGAUAUGUAUGUUUCAGCUACUGUUAUGUCAUUUGGAUAUCUUGAUGUUUUAAAGUUGAGAAUUUUUUCGUAGCUUGGCAAUAUAUUGCAAGACACUUCACUAUUCACAAAUUCACGAAUGAGCAAGUAUUGGUGUUUCGUUAUUCCAGUGUCCAUUAAAAGCGAUAAAACCUUUUCACUAUUUGCUUCGGUUGACUUCAGGAUCGGUGGAAAAUCGGAUGAGCGCAAAACAGAAGCUGCAGACUCAUCUUGUUUUUCUAUCAGCAUUAUCCGACGACGUUUCGUUCUUUUUGAGGACACAGCAAAAUCAAUUUUAUGACGUCCGCGUGCAGCACUUGAAAAACUUUGUUCAGGAACACAAGCAGGCUCAAUUAUAAUUGUUUCGACAGUGUUCAACCAAGGGGAUUGAUAUCGAACAAUUGAAAUCUUACAACGAUUGUAUUUAGUUCAAUAAGCAAUAAUUUUUUUGCAAAUGUAACCAAUACAAAUGUUAAGUUUUCUCAUCUCUA